AUACGGAGGGUGCAAGCGUUACUCGGAAUCACUGGGCGUAAAGCGCGCGCAGGCGGCUUGAUAAGUUGGAUGUGAAAGCCUACGGCUCAACCGUAGAACUGCAUCCAAAACUGUCAAGCUAGAGUCUGGGAGGGGAAGAUGGAAUUAGUUGUGUAGGGGUAAAAUCCGUAGAGAUAACUAGGAAUACCAAAAGCGAAGGCGAUCUUCUGGAACACUACUGACGCUGAGGCGCGAAGGCGUGGGGAGCAAACAGGAUUAGAAACCCCGGUAGUCC
This 274-nucleotide ribosomal RNA is filed under the name uncultured bacterium. Its description in RNAcentral is "partial 16S ribosomal RNA". It matches the Rfam family "Bacterial small subunit ribosomal RNA", at positions 523 to 796 of the family's 1533-position model. The record is from RNAcentral.